RNAcentral lists this ribosomal RNA (75 nucleotides) under Candidatus Viridilinea mediisalina. RNAcentral's name for it is "partial 23S ribosomal RNA". Lineage: Bacteria; Bacillati; Chloroflexota; Chloroflexia; Chloroflexales; Oscillochloridaceae. The record is from RNAcentral.
GGAAGACAUGAUGAGCACACGAUGGAUGCCUUGGCGCUACGUGCCGAUGAAGGACGGGGCACCGCUCCGAUAAGC